This 253-nucleotide ribosomal RNA is filed under the name uncultured bacterium. RNAcentral's name for it is "partial 16S ribosomal RNA". It matches the Rfam family "Bacterial small subunit ribosomal RNA", at positions 524 to 776 of the family's 1533-position model. The record is from RNAcentral.
UACAGAGGUCUCAAGCGUUGUUCGGAUUCAUUGGGCGUAAAAGGUGCGUAGGCGGCGCGGUAAGUCGGGUGUGAAAUCUCGGAGCUUAACUCCGAAACUGCAUUCGAUACUGCCGUGCUUGAGGACUGGAGAGGAGACUGGAAUUUACGGUGUAGCAGUGAAAUGCGUAGAGAUCAUGAGGAAGACCAGUGGCGAAGGCGGGUCUCUGGACAGUUCCUGACACUGAGGCACGAAGGCCAGGGGAGCAAACGGG